AAUACCGCAUACGAUCUCUGGAUGAAAGCGGGGGACCGAAAGGCCUCGCGCUCAAGGGGCGGCCGAUGGCAGAUUAGCUAGUUGGUGGGGUAAGGGCCUACCAAGGCGACGAUCUGUAGCUGGUCUGAGAGGACGACCAGCCACACUGGGACUGAGACACGGCCCAGACUCCUACGGGAGGCAGCAGUGGGGAAUUUUGGACAAUGGGGGCAACCCUGAUCCAGCAAUGCCGCGUGUGUGAAGAAGGCCUUCGGGUUGUAAAGCACUUUUGUCCGGAAAGAAAACCGCUUCUCUAAUACAGAGGUGGGAUGACGGUACCGGAAGAAUAAGCACCGGCUAACUACGUGCCAGCAGCCGCGGUAAUACGUAGGGUGCGAGCGUUAAUCGGAAUUACUGGGCGUAAAGCGUGCGCAGGCGGUUCGCUAAGACCGAUGUGAAAUCCCCGGGCUUAACCUGGGAACUGCAUUUGUGACUGGCGGGCUAGAGUAUGGC
This 492-nucleotide ribosomal RNA is filed under the name uncultured Burkholderia sp. RNAcentral describes it as "bacterial SSU rRNA". It matches the Rfam family "Bacterial small subunit ribosomal RNA", at positions 165 to 652 of the family's 1533-position model. The record is from RNAcentral. Lineage: Bacteria; Pseudomonadati; Pseudomonadota; Betaproteobacteria; Burkholderiales; Burkholderiaceae.